AUUGAACGCUGGCGGCAGGCCUAACACAUGCAAGUCGAACGGUAACAGGAAGAAGCUUGCUUCUUUGCUGACGAGUGGCGGACGGGUGAGUAAUGUCUGGGAAACUGCCUGAUGGAGGGGGAUAACUACUGGAAACGGUAGCUAAUACCGCAUAACGUCGCAAGACCAAAGAGGGGGACCUUCGGGCCUCUUGCCAUCGGAUGUGCCCAGAUGGGAUUAGCUAGUAGGUGGGGUAACGGCUCACCUAGGCGACGAUCCCUAGCUGGUCUGAGAGGAUGACCAGCCACACUGGAACUGAGACACGGUCCAGACUCCUACGGGAGGCAGCAGUGGGGAAUAAUGCACAAUGGGCGCAAGCCUGAUGCAGCCAUGCCGCGUGUAUGAAGAAGGCCUUCGGGUUGUAAAGUACUUUCAGCGGGGAGGAAGGGAGUAAAGUUAAUACCUUUGCUCAUUGACGUUACCCGCAGAAGAAGCACCGGCUAACUCCGUG
This 490-nucleotide ribosomal RNA is filed under the name uncultured bacterium. Its description in RNAcentral is "partial 16S ribosomal RNA". It matches the Rfam family "Bacterial small subunit ribosomal RNA", at positions 30 to 507 of the family's 1533-position model. The record is from RNAcentral.